CCUGGAGAUGUUGCUGAGCGUUCGUCCCACUCUUUUCUUGAGACUGACUGAUCAGAGCACAACUUGCAUUUUUCGCUGCACCUUGGUCCCUUGCGUUUUGGCUUUUUCUACAGAGAGCAGUUCAUUGUUACUAUACCUUUUAUUGUUCUUUUCUUGAAAAAAAAAAAACUAAAAAAAUUGUUUAUUGCAUUUUACAAGUUAUAUUUACACAGUGUCUCUUUCAUUGUUGCUUGACUUUUUUUUUAAUUUAUUUAUUUUUUAUUUAUUUAUUUAUUUAUUUAUUUAUAUAUAUAUUUUUUUCCCCUUCCUUCCUGAGACUACUUUGCAGGUUUUGUUCUUUCAGGCUCAACAGCUGUUACGUCGGGACAGAACUUUCAAAGAUGCCAUGGAAAGGAAAGAGAUCUCAGGCUCAAAAAAUGCAUUGGAGAAAGGUGGACCUGGAAGAUGGACAGAUUCUUGUGUGGUUCUGGAAGAGAGAAGACGGGAAUGGAUCUGCCACACUUGUGACGGCCAUCUUAAGAGAGGUCACAUUCCUUCAAUUGCAGCAGCAAACAGACCACCCAUCCCUGUGGAACUGGUUGAGUUGCAGGAAGAAUUUGGAGACCAUAGCAGUCCUGUCCAAGACCGGAUAUGAGUCUGCAAUAUACCAUCUAAAGCUAAGUUUUUAAUGAUUUUGCUUCAGUCACUGUACUACUGCACAUUAUAACCACAUUUGCAGGAAAAUGUUCAAUCUUGAUCUGAUUUUGAUAUUUACCAGCAACCAGCCAAUUGAAGUCAGAAUUUCUUAGAUCAAGUGUGCUACAAUGCUGAUGGAUGACAAGAGGACGGGACCAAAUGUUUACGGCAUUGACGACAAUACUGGAGAAGCAGAGGAAGAAGCACACUAAAGCACUGAGGAUAUCCAGCCUGUAGGCCGUGCCAGAUCCAGCGGCUAGAUGGCAGAUGCUUCAUUAGACCACUGAAUAUAUCUAAUCAUUGGAUUAUCAAUUAAUUCAUCUUAAUAUAUAUAAAUUAUUUUAUAAUCAUUAAAUAAUUGGUCUCAAUUUCUAGAUAUAUUAAUAUUUCAUAUAUUGGCUUAAAUAAGAAUUUUACUGUAAGGUGUGCCAUGCCAGAGGAGGAUGGGCUCCCCCUGUUGAGUCUGGUUCCUCUCAAGGUUUUUUACCUCCUAACUCUUUGGAGUUUUUUCCUAGCCACCUUCGCCAUUGGCUUGCUCACUGGGGGUGUUGUGCCAGGUCCUGUCUACCUCUUGGGUCCUUACUGACAAGGGUUUCCAAAAUGAGGCUUUUGUGAAUUGAUGAAAAUCUUAUAAUGAAUUAAAUCGUGAAAAUGUGAAUUAAAGUAAAAAAAAAAAAAUAGGACUGCACAAUUACUUUGAAAGGAGCAGUUAAAUAAUGUUAUGGCUUAGUGUGAGUAGAGUGUAGACUAAGCUACAAACAGAUGCAAUUUAAUUACAUAAAUAUAUUCUGAUGCAUUGUGUUUCAGAGUGAAGGGUGUGCAGCUCUUGAUCUGUUGUUAAAUGUUUCAGUUCACAGUACAAGCUGCUGCACACAAACUCAAUAUCUGAAUGUGCUAUACUUUUGAGUGACUUACAAUCAAGCUGUAAGCCCCAAGACACCAGUGA
Molecule: long non-coding RNA, 1621 nt
Organism: Ictalurus punctatus (channel catfish)
Lineage: Eukaryota; Metazoa; Chordata; Actinopteri; Siluriformes; Ictaluridae
Source: Ensembl